This 420-nucleotide ribosomal RNA is filed under the name uncultured eukaryote. Its description in RNAcentral is "bacterial SSU rRNA". It matches the Rfam family "Eukaryotic small subunit ribosomal RNA", at positions 592 to 1018 of the family's 1831-position model. The record is from RNAcentral.
CAAUAGCGUAUAUUAAAGUUGUUGCGGUUAAAAAGCUCGUAGUUGGAUUUCUGCCGAGGACGACCGGUCCGCCCUCUGGGUGAGUAUCUGGCUCGGCCUGGGCAUCUUCUUGGAGAACGUAGCUGCACUUGACUGUGUGGUGCGGUAUCCAGGACUUUUACUUUGAGGAAAUGAGAGUGUUUCAAGCAGGCUUUCGCCGUGAAUAUGAUAGCAUGGAAUAAUAGCACAGGACCCCUUUCCAAAGCUGUUGGUUUUUGGAACGAGGUAAUCAGAAUAAGGAUAGUUGGGGGUAUUCGUAUUUAACUGUCAGAGGUGAAAUUCUUGGAUUUAUGAAAGACGAACUACUGCGAAAGCAUUUACCAAAGAUGUUUUCAUUAAUCAAGAACGAAAGUUAGGGGAUCGAAGACGAUCAGAUACCAU